UAUACUUUGAACAAAUAGAUUCAGUUGACUUAAAUACAAAAUUAAAGCAAUUUGGGCAAUGUUGGUUGGCAGGCGGGGUCAUCGGACACUUUUUUCAAACUAAUCCCCCAGUAGUUUCAGAGGAGAAGAUUUUUGUAAAAUUUAAUGGAUGACGACGACAACAGAUGGCGACAGAUGAUGGCCGCCAAGUGAUGAGAAAAGCUCACUUGGCCCAAUGGGCCAAGUGAGCUAAAAAAGGAAGAGUGUUGCACUUAUUGGUUCCCAGAUAUUUAAAAACUAAUAUUUAAACACUAAUAAGUACAUUUCAAUUUAUAGGAAACCUGCACAACAUACACAGUUUUUGAAAGAUAACAAGAUUUUGUCCAUCUCUCUACAAGAUGCAAACAAGAAAAACUCUUUCAAGUCUGGCAAGAGGUAAUCACAGGUUUCCAUGGGUUCUUUUUGAAUACCAAAAAAGAAGGAUAGCCGAUUUAAAAAGAAGCAAUACACACAAGCUUCAGCAUUUUGUGUCGUCUCCCAUGGAUAUGCAGAGUGUCACUAAUGUUCCAGGCAUUGGUCCUACUUAUGCUGGUAGACUAGCCCAUAAUGGUAUAACCCAUCCAAGCCAAAUGCAUGUGAUUUAUGUACAAUGCCAAAGAAACCAAAGAAAGUUUGUUAAUCGGCUUAAUCAACUAACUAGCGGACAUCAAAAUCAUUUGAUCCGCACGUACAAUGGUUUGGAUGAAUGGCACAAACAGAGAGUUUUCUGAUACAUGUACUUAAAAGUUUAUGGAACAUAUCAUGAUUUCAAUUGUUUUUACAUUUUCUAUAUUUUUUCCUAUUAUUUACAUAUUAAACUGAUAAUGUUAAAAAUCUUAUACUAAUAUUUUAUUUUGAAUAUUGAUUUUAUUAAAAUAAUGCAUGAUUGCAUUUAUAUUGUACUAAGGUUUUCAGACUUAUGUAGAAUUAAUGUUUGCUUAUUAAUGACAGAUACGUGUAUGCAUCAGUAUUUAAGAUUAGUUGAUUAAUUCAUUGGUGUAUAAUCCUACAUUCACUUUAAAAAGAUUGAGACAAUAUAACCUCAUCAUCAUGUUGUACAAUUUAUAAUCUAUUUUUAAGCAUAUGAUGCUGGACUAAGCAGGAGUCCAACUAGAAUGAACGCAGAAUGUAAAAUUGCUGUUUCUUUUAAGACAUUUUAAAAAAAUAAUCAGUUUUUGCAGGAUUUUUUUUUUUUUUUCAUGCAGUGGAUGUCAAUAACCAGAGGAAGAGUUUGUGUAUUACAAAAUUUAAACAGUAGUUUAUAAUUAAUCCGAAAAUAAUUUUGUUUUGCUUAAGAAUUUCCUUCUUAUACAUUUUUAAUAUAGUUUCCCAAAAUUUAACAAUUUUUUAAUUAAUUUUUUGUAAUUAAUAGAUAUAAGAAGAUGUGGUAUGAGUGCCAAUGAGACAACUCGAUAUCUCCAUCCAAGUCACAAUUUGUAAAGGUAAACCAUUAUAGGUCAAGGUACGGCCUUCAACACGGAGCCUUAGCUCACACCGAAACAGCAAGCUAUAAUAAAUAAAAGGGCCCCAAAAAUGACUAGUGUAAAACCAUUCAAACAGGAAAACCAACGGUCUAUUAUCUAAAUAAAAAACAAGAAACAAGAAACACUUAUGAACCACAUCAACAAACGUCAACUACUGAACAUCAGAUUCCAAAAUGUAUUAUUUUGAAUUUGAACUUUUGUUCAUUUUCUUUUUUUUUAAAUUAAGUUUAUUUUAUGAUUUAGUAGUUUUAAAUUUUAUUUUAUCUUAUAAUUAUAAAGAGGAAUUGUUUUACUUUGGACUAUAUAUUUAAUUUUAUUUGUUGUACAAUUAAUUAGGAUAUUUAUUUUAAUUAUUGGGUAUUGUUCAAAAAUGUAUUUGUUAUUUAUUUAUUAUCAUUCAAUUAAAUUGUUAUUGUUGAUUAAAUUAUGAAAACAA
Molecule: long non-coding RNA, 1938 nt
Organism: Mytilus californianus (California mussel)
Lineage: Eukaryota; Metazoa; Mollusca; Bivalvia; Mytilida; Mytilidae
Exons: 4
Source: RefSeq, a predicted model, not a curated record